AAUGAACGCUGGCGGCAGGCCUAACACAUGCAAGUCGAACGGAUCCUUCGGGAUUAGUGGCGGACGGGUGAGUAACGCGUGGGAACAUACCCAAAGGUACGGAAUAGCCUCGGGAGACUGGGAGUAAUACCGUAUGUGCUCGAAAGAGGAAAGAUUUAUCGCCUUUGGAUUGGCCCGCGUUGGAUUAGGUAGUUGGUGGGGUAAUGGCCUACCAAGCCGACGAUCCAUAGCUGGUUUGAGAGGAUGAUCAGCCACACUGGGACUGAGACACGGCCCAGACUCCUACGGGAGGCAGCAGUGGGGAAUCUUAGACAAUGGGGGAAACCCUGAUCUAGCCAUGCCGCGUGAUCGAUGAAGGCCUUAGGGUUGUAAAGAUCUUUCAGGUGGGAAGAUAAUGACUGUACCACCAGAAGAAGCCCCGGCUAACUCCGUGCCAGCAGCCGCAGUAA
RNAcentral lists this ribosomal RNA (449 nucleotides) under uncultured bacterium. RNAcentral describes it as "partial 16S ribosomal RNA". It matches the Rfam family "Bacterial small subunit ribosomal RNA", at positions 29 to 523 of the family's 1533-position model. The record is from RNAcentral.